AGGGCGCAUGGUGAAUGCCUUGGCAUCAGGAGCCGAUGAAGGACGUGAUAAGCUGCGAUAAGCUUCGGGUAGGCGCACAUAGCCUGAGAUCCGAAGAUCUCCGAAUGAGGAAACUCACAUGGGAAACCCCAUGUAUCAUUAAGUGAAUACAUAGCUUAAUGAAGGUAACCCAGGGAACUGAAACAUCUAAGUACCUGGAGGAAGAGAAAGAAAAAUCGAUUUUCUUAGUAGCGGCGAGCGAAAGGGAAAGAGCCCAAACCGGAAACUUGUUUCCGGGGUUGUGGACAUAGCAUUAAAGUGGAGGCUAUUGUAACUGAAGAGAACUGGAAAGUUCCACCGUAGAAGGUAAUAGUCCUGUAAGUGAAACGAGAAGACCACGAGUUAUGAUCCAGAGUACCACGAGACACGUGAAACCUUGUGGGAAGCAGGGAGGACCACCUCCCAAGGCUAAAUACUACCUGAUGACCGAUAGUGAAGCAGUACCGUGAGGGAAAGGUGAAAAGAACCCCGGGAGGGGAGUGAAAUAGAACCUGAAACCGUGUGCCUACAACCGCUCAGAGCCCCUUAUGAGGGUGAUGAGGUGCUUUUUGUAGAACGAGCCAACGAGUUACGGUAUGUAGCAAGGUUAAGUACUUAAGGUACGGAGCCGAAGGGAAACCGAGUCUGAAUAGGGCGACUAGUUGCAUGCCGUAGACCCGAAACCGGGUGACCUAUCCAUGGCCAGGUUGAAGCGAGGGUAAAACCUCGUGGAGGACCGAACCACGUUGCUGUUGAAAAAGCAUGGGAUGAGCUGUGGAUAGCGGAGAAAUUCCAAUCGAACCCGGAGAUAGCUGGUUCUCUCCGAAAUAGCUUUAGGGCUAGCGUCGAGUAUGAGUAGUGGAGGUAGAGCACUGAAUGGGCUAGGGGGCAUAGCGCUUACCGAACCUUAUCAAACUCCGAAUGCCACAUACUUUGAGCUCGGCAGUCAGACUACGAAUGAUAAGAUCCGUGGUCAAAAGGGAAACAGCCCAGAUCGUCAGCUAAGGUCCCAAAGUGUAAGUUAAGUGGGAAAGGAUGUGAGAUUUCUAAGACAACUAGGAUGUUGGCUUAGAAGCAGCCAUUCAUUAAAAGAGUGCGUAAUAGCUCACUAGUCGAGAGAUCUUGCGCCGAAAAUGUAACGGGGCUAAACUUACCACCGAAGCUACGGGCUUGAACUUAGUUCAAGCGGUAGGAGAGCGUCGUAACCGGGCUGAAGUCGUACCGUAAGGAGCGGUGGACUGGUUACGAGUGAGAAUGUUGGCAUCAGUAGCGAGAUGUGGGUGAGAAUCCCACAGGCCGAAAACCUAAGGUUUCCUCAGGAAGGUUCGUCCGCUGAGGGUUAGUCGGGACCUAAGCCGAGGCCGAAAGGCGUAGGUGAUGGACAACUGGUUGAUAUUCCAGUACCACUACCAUCGUUAUUAUCGAUGGCGUGACGCAGGAGGAUAGUGUGUGCUAGCUAUUGGAUGCUAGUCUAAGCGUUUAGGCAGUGAGAGUAGGCAAAUCCGCUCUCAUAAUGCUGAGGCGUGAUGGGGAAGGUUCCACGGAACCGAAGUACAUGAUUCCACGCUGCCAAGAAAAGCGUCUAGAGAGAGAAGUAGUGCCCGUACCGCAAACCGACACAGGUAGGUGAGGAGAGAAUCCUAAGGCCGGCGGAAGAAUUACAGUUAAGGAACUCGGCAAAUUGACCCCGUAAGUUCGCGAGAAGGGGUGCCUACGAGAGUAGGCCGCAGAGAAUAGGCCCAAGCAACUGUUUAGCAAAAACACAGGUCUCUGCUAAAGCGUAAGCUGAUGUAUAGGGGCUGACGCCUGCCCGGUGCUGGAAGGUUAAGGGGAACACUUAGCGCAAGCGAAGGUGUGAACUUAAGCCCCAGUAAACGGCGGCCGUAACUAUAACGGUCCUAAGGUAGCGAAAUUCCUUGUCAGGUAAGUUCUGACCCGCACGAAUGGCGUAAUGACUUGGGCACUGUCUCAACUGUAAAUCCGGCGAAGUUGUAGUGCGAGUGAAGAUGCUCGCUACCCGCGAUUGGACGGAAAGACCCCGUAGAGCUUUACUGUAGCUUAGCAUUGAGUUUUGGUAUUGUCUGUACAGGAUAGGUGGGAGACUAGGAAACCAGGGCGUCAGCCUUGGUGGAGUCAACCUUGGGAUACCACCCUGACAGUACUGAAAUUCUAACUGGCGGCCAUGAAUCUGGUCACAGGACAUUGUUAGGUGGGCAGUUUGACUGGGGCGGUCGCCUCCUAAAAAGUAACGGAGGCGCCCAAAGGUUCCCUCAGAACGGUCGGAAAUCGUUCGAAGAGUGCAAAGGCAGAAGGGAGCCUGACUGCGACACCCACAAGUGGAGCAGGGACGAAAGUCGGGCUUAGUGAUCCGGUGGUACCUCGUGGGAGGGCCAUCGCUCAACGGAUAAAAGCUACCUCGGGGAUAACAGGCUGAUCUCCCCCAAGAGUCCACAUCGACGGGGAGGUUUGGCACCUCGAUGUCGGCUCGUCGCAUCCUGGGGCUGAAGUAGGUCCCAAGGGUUGGGCUGUUCGCCCAUUAAAGCGGCACGCGAGCUGGGUUCAGAACGUCGUGAGACAGUUCGGUCCCUAUCCGUCGCGGGCGUAGGAAAUUUGAGAGGAGCUGUCCUUAGUACGAGAGGACCGGGAUGGACUGACCUCUGGUGUACCAGUUGUUCCGCCAGGAGCACAGCUGGGUAGCUAAGUCGGGAAUGGAUAAACGCUGAAAGCAUCUAAGCGUGAAGCCAACCUCAAGAUGAGAUUUCCCAUAGCGUAAGCUAGUAAGAUCCCUUGA
This 2809-nucleotide ribosomal RNA is filed under the name Clostridium perfringens C str. JGS1495. RNAcentral's name for it is "bacterial LSU rRNA". It matches the Rfam family "Bacterial large subunit ribosomal RNA". The record is from RNAcentral. Lineage: Bacteria; Bacillati; Bacillota; Clostridia; Eubacteriales; Clostridiaceae.